ACGCUGGCGGCGCGCCUAACACAUGCAAGUCGAACGAGCGAGAGAGAGCUUGCUUUCUCGAGCGAGUGGCGAACGGGUGAGUAACGCGUGAGGAACCUGCCUCAAAGAGGGGGACAACAGUUGGAAACGACUGCUAAUACCGCAUAAGCCCACGGGUCGGCAUCGACCAGAGGGAAAAGGAGCAAUCCGCUUUGAGAUGGCCUCGCGUCCGAUUAGCUAGUUGGUGAGGUAACGGCCCACCAAGGCAACGAUCGGUAGCCGGACUGAGAGGUUGAACGGCCACAUUGGGACUGAGACACGGCCCAGACUCCUACGGGAGGCAGCAGUGGGGAAUAUUGCACAAUGGGGGAAACCCUGAUGCAGCGACGCCGCGUGGAGGAAGAAGGUCUUCAGAUUGUAAACUCCUGUUGUUGAGGAAGAUAAUGACGGUACUCAACAAGGAAGUGACGGCUAACUACGUGCCAGCAGCCGCGGUAAAACGUAGGUCACAAGCGUUGUCCGGAAUUACUGGGUGUAAAGGGAGCGCAGGCGGGAAGACAAGUUGGAAGUGAAAUCCAUGGGCUCAACCCAUGAACUGCUUUCAAAACUGUUUUUCUUGAGUAGUGCAGAGGUAGGCGGAAUUCCCGGUGUAGCGGUGGAAUGCGUAGAUAUCGGGAGGAACACCAGUGGCGAAGGCGGCCUACUGGGCACCAACUGACGCUGAGGCUCGAAAGUGUGGGUAGCAAACAGGAUUAGAUACCCUGGUAGUCCACACCGUAAACGAUGAUUACUAGGUGUUGGAGGAUUGACCCCUUCAGUGCCGCAGUUAACACAAUAAGUAAUCCACCUGGGGAGUACGACCGCAAGGUUGAAACUCAAAGGAAUUGACGGAAGG
Molecule: ribosomal RNA, 874 nt
Filed under: uncultured bacterium
Lineage: Bacteria
Description: bacterial SSU rRNA
Rfam family: Bacterial small subunit ribosomal RNA
Source: RNAcentral